CCUACGGGUGGCUGCAGUGGGGAAUCUUGCGCAAUGGCCGAAAGGCUGACGCAGCGACGCCGCGUGGGGGAUGACGGCCUUCGGGUUGUAAACCCCUGUCGCCCGGGACGAACGAGUCGAUUCGUCGACUGUGACGGUACCGGGGGAGGAAGCACCGGCUAACUCUGUGCCAGCAGCCGCGGUAAUACAGAGGGUGCGAGCGUUGUCCGGAAUCACUGGGCGUAAAGGGCGCGUAGGCGGUCGCUUAAGCGCGCGGUGAAAGCCCGGGGCUCAAC
Molecule: ribosomal RNA, 275 nt
Filed under: uncultured bacterium
Lineage: Bacteria
Description: partial 16S ribosomal RNA
Rfam family: Bacterial small subunit ribosomal RNA
Source: RNAcentral